UACAGAGGGUGCGAGCGUUAAUCGGAAUUACUGGGCGUAAAGCGCGCGUAGGCGGCUUUGCAAGUCGGGUGUGAAAUCCCCAGGCUUAACCUCGGAACUGCAUUCGAGACUGCGUUGCUAGAGUAUGGGAGAGGGAAGUGGAAUUUCCGGUGUAGCGGUGAAAUGCGUAGAUAUCGGAAGGAACAUCGGUGGCGAAAGCGACUUCCUGGGCCAAUACUGACGCUCAUGUGCGAAAGCGUGGGGAGCAAACAGG
This 253-nucleotide ribosomal RNA is filed under the name uncultured bacterium. Its description in RNAcentral is "partial 16S ribosomal RNA". It matches the Rfam family "Bacterial small subunit ribosomal RNA", at positions 524 to 776 of the family's 1533-position model. The record is from RNAcentral.